This 400-nucleotide ribosomal RNA is filed under the name uncultured bacterium. Its description in RNAcentral is "bacterial SSU rRNA". It matches the Rfam family "Bacterial small subunit ribosomal RNA", at positions 975 to 1375 of the family's 1533-position model. The record is from RNAcentral.
CAAGUCUUGACAUCCUCCUGAAUAGAGGGUAACGCCUCUAGGCCUUCGGGACAGGAGAGACAGGUGGUGCAUGGUUGUCGUCAGCUCGUGUCGUGAGAUGUUGGGUUAAGUCCCGCAACGAGCGCAACCCCUAUCUUUAGUAGCCAGCGGCCAGGCCGGGCACUCUAGAGAGACUGCCGGGGAUAACCCGGAGGAAGGUGGGGAUGACGUCAAAUCAUCAUGCCCCUUAUGAUUUGGGCUACACACGUGCUACAAUGGCGUAAACAGAGGGAAGCGAGCCUGCGAGGGGGAGCAAAUCCCAAAAAUAACGUCCCAGUUCGGAUUGUAGUCUGCAACCCGACUACAUGAAGCUGGAAUCGCUAGUAAUCGCGGAUCAGAAUGCCGCGGUGAAUACGUUCCC